RNAcentral lists this ribosomal RNA (693 nucleotides) under Diaporthe inconspicua. RNAcentral describes it as "LSU rRNA". It matches the Rfam family "Eukaryotic large subunit ribosomal RNA", at positions 143 to 863 of the family's 3401-position model. Lineage: Eukaryota; Fungi; Ascomycota; Sordariomycetes; Diaporthales; Diaporthaceae. The record is from RNAcentral.
UUGUAAUUUGCAGAGGAUGUUUCUGGCGCGGUGCCUUCCGAGUUCCCUGGAACGGGACGCCACAGAGGGUGAGAGCCCCGUAUGGUUGGACACCAAGCCUGUGUGAAACUCCUUCAACGAGUCGAGUAGUUUGGGAAUGCUGCUCUAAAUGGGAGGUAAAUCUCUUCUAAAGCUAAAUACCGGCCAGAGACCGAUAGCGCACAAGUAGAGUGAUCGAAAGAUGAAAAGCACCUUGAAAAGGGGGUUAAAUAGUACGUGAAAUUGUUGAAAGGGAAGCACUUAUGACCAGACUUGGGCCGGGCGGCUCAUCAGGGGUUCUCCCCUGUGCACUCCGCCCGGCACAGGCCAGCAUCGGUUCUCGUGGGGGGAUAAGACCGUCAGGAACGUAGCACCCUCCGGGGUGUGUUAUAGCCUGGCGGACGAUACCCCCGUGGGGACCGAGGUCCGCGCUCCGCAAGGAUGCUGGCGUAAUGGUCAUCAGUGACCCGUCUUGAAACACGGACCAAGGAGUCGUCCAUUAGAGCGAGCGUUUGGGUGUAAAACCCGCACGCGUAAUGAAAGUGAACGCAGGUGAGAGCUCCGGCGCAUCAUCGACCGAUCCUGAUGUUCUCGGAAGGAUUUGAGUAAGAGUUUUAACGGACGGACCCGAAAGACAGUGAACUAUGCUUGUAUAGGGUGAAGCCAGAGGAAACU